AGUUUCAUCUGCAUGGAGCCAUUCAGUACAUGAAGAGAGGUAAGAAGUUCUCUUCCUUUUUUUGGGUGGAACAGCCAGGCCCCUCCAGUUCUCAACUGCAUCCCCAUCAGCCGGAAGAAUGUUUGUGGCAGCAUCAGAUCCCACAAACGGAACAAAUCCGCAUAUUUCCCUCGAUGAAGGAAAGAUGACGAGCAAUGAAGCGAUCGACUCGAACAGGUCAGUCUGGAUCUCAUCAACUGAAUCCACUCUCUCACUUUCCUCUGUCUGUUCAUCUGGAAUGAUGAUGGAGUCUUGAGCAAUUUGGGCUUUCAGGUAUUUCUUGCACCUUUCUGAAGGAAGAGGGGCUCCAGAACUGUCAUCACCUUCUGCCUCACUUAGGGCCACAACAGUGAUAGCAUGCAGUCCCACUGGCAUAUCAUCUUGAUGCAGUGCGCAACAUCAACCCUGAUAAAACAAGGGGGGAGUUUGGCAGACUGGGUUCCAAGAAGGACAUGAAAGCAUUCAUUAAGAGUGGCCAAAUUUGGAAGGUGGCUUGGCUCAGGAUCUCCAACAUCCAUCAGAUCUGCUGCCUUCGCUGACCUCCAUACAGCCGGUUCCAUUCUGCCCUCACACAGCUCUUUAGCAAUCUGUUCACGCAGGUUUCCAGACAUGAACCGCUUGGAGUGGCCAGUGUGCAGGGAGAGAUCUGUAUUUCUCAUGAAACACUGGAGCACCAUUGGAGUAUUAAUUGCUGGCUGUCUGUCACAUGACAUUUCUAACUGGCCAUGACACUCCUUACAGUCGCCUCUGAUGUCCAGAUAAUUAUUGUUGACAGCUGGAUGGACCUUUGCUCUUCGGAACACAAGUGUACAUGUAUUUUUGAUCUUCUUCCAUAUAAGAUCAUUGAUGAUAUGAGUCCAAGUGCCAGGUUUCAAAAUUGUGUAUUCUCUUUUUUGGGUAGGAGAAAACUUGUCAUUGUAUUCAACCUUUUCAGGAAUAAAUUUAACCCAGUCCUCAAAAGGGACUUCUAGUUCAAAAGCUUGACAGUUUUCUUGUCCAGGAGAAAUGCAAUGUGAAUCUAACUCUCCUUCACUAUUACUUUCCUGAUCACUGAUUUCCAAAGCUGACCAGAUGUUGUGUCUAUUUAGCUUCACAAAAGUGUACAGGGCCUUUGCUGACAUCUUGUCUUCUAGCUGCUGACUCAGCUCUUUCCAGACUGAUGCAGCUGGAGUGGCUAUUUUGCCAUUUUGGACUAUGGCCUCUUUUGAAUUGCAAAGAAUUGCAAAAAUGGAAACCUUGUCUACAGAUGGCUUUCGAGGCAUCUAAAUUAAAAAAAAAAAACCCACUAUGAUUAUGAUGGAGCAAAACAUGAUUUGACCUAUAUAUACAGCCAGGAGCAACCCCUCCCCCAAGUUCUCCACCAAUCUACACUUUCAUAUUUUGUGGAAUUAUUGUUUUUAAGAUGGAGCUAUUGAAUUUGUGAGUUUAUUAAAUUGAGUCUGAGUGUUUAACCCAUUAACAUGUACUGUACAGCACUUUAGU
Long non-coding RNA from Oreochromis aureus, 1521 nucleotides. NCBI's taxonomy places the organism in Eukaryota, Metazoa, Chordata, Actinopteri, Cichliformes, Cichlidae. The record is from Ensembl.